RNAcentral lists this ribosomal RNA (250 nucleotides) under uncultured Lactobacillus sp. RNAcentral's name for it is "partial 16S ribosomal RNA". It matches the Rfam family "Bacterial small subunit ribosomal RNA", at positions 113 to 354 of the family's 1533-position model. The record is from RNAcentral. Lineage: Bacteria; Bacillati; Bacillota; Bacilli; Lactobacillales; Lactobacillaceae.
CAACGUGGGGAACCUGCCCCAUAGUCUGGGAUACCACUUGGAAACAGGUGCUAAUACCGGAUAAGAAAGCGGAUCGCAUGAUCAGCUUUUAAAAGGCGGCGUAAGCUGUCGCUAUGGGAUGGCCCCGCGGUGCAUUAGCUAGUUGGUAAGGUAAAGGCUUACCAAGGCGAUGAUGCAUAGCCGAGUUGAGAGACUGAUCGGCCACAUUGGGACUGAGACACGGCCCAAACUCCUACGGGAGGCAGCAGAU